CAGUCGCCGCGGUAAUACGGAGGGUGCAAGCGUUAAUCGGAAUUACUGGGCGUAAAGCGCACGCAGGCGGUCUGACAAGUCAGAUGUGAAAUCCCCGGGCUUAACCUGGGAACUGCAUUUGAAACUGUCAGGCUGGAGUCUUGUAGAGGGGGGUGGAAUUCCAGGUGUAGCGGUGAAAUGCGUAGAGAUCUGGAGGAAUACCGGUGGCGAAGGCGGCCCCCUGGACAAAGACUGACGCUCAGGUGCGAAAGCGUGGGGAGCAAACAGGAUUAGAUACCCGAGUAGUCCCUGUCUCUUAUAU
RNAcentral lists this ribosomal RNA (301 nucleotides) under uncultured bacterium. Its description in RNAcentral is "partial 16S ribosomal RNA". It matches the Rfam family "Bacterial small subunit ribosomal RNA", at positions 509 to 809 of the family's 1533-position model. The record is from RNAcentral.